UACGUAGGGUGCGAGCGUUGUCCGGAAUUAUUGGGCGUAAAGAGCUCGUAGGCGGUCUGUCGCGUCGAUCGUGAAAACUUGGGGCUUAACCCUGAGCUUGCGGUCGAUACGGACAUCACUGGAGUUCGGCAGGGGAGACUGGAAUUCCUGGUGUAGCGGUGAAAUGCGCAGAUACCAGGAGGAACACCGGUGGCGAAGGCGGGUCUCUGGGCCGAUACUGACGCUGAGGAGCGAAAGCGUGGGGAGCAAACAGG
Molecule: ribosomal RNA, 254 nt
Filed under: uncultured bacterium
Lineage: Bacteria
Description: partial 16S ribosomal RNA
Rfam family: Bacterial small subunit ribosomal RNA
Source: RNAcentral